Molecule: long non-coding RNA, 411 nt
Organism: Leucoraja erinaceus (little skate)
Lineage: Eukaryota; Metazoa; Chordata; Chondrichthyes; Rajiformes; Rajidae
Exons: 2
Source: RefSeq, a predicted model, not a curated record
GAAUCCAAGAAAUAGAGUCCCAGCCUGCCCCAACUCUCCCUAUAGCUCACACCCUUCCAGCCCUGGUAAAAAAUAGUCGUAAACCUUCUCUGCAUCAUUUCCUGUAACACGGUGCCCAGAACUGAAAACAAGACUGAAUGCGGUCUCAUCAAGGUCAUGUUGCAGUUGUAUAAGACGUUGAUGAGACCACACUUGUAGUAUUGUGUUCUCCUUCUCUCCCCCUGCCCUCAUCCUUCAUGUCAUAUGCUGACCAGAACUGAACGUGAUAUUGGAGAUGAGGUUGGUGUGGAGCGAUGUGUUUGUGCUGAUAGUCAUGCUUUUAUGAAUAGUUCCCAGCUGGUAAAGAUGUUUUAAUCUGUGAAGCGAUAUAACUGUGACGAGUCAUUGCUGAAUAAAGAGAUUGUGUUGUAA